RNAcentral lists this long non-coding RNA (1367 nucleotides) under Piliocolobus tephrosceles (Ugandan red Colobus). RNAcentral describes it as "lncRNA (ENSPTEG00000008505.1)". Lineage: Eukaryota; Metazoa; Chordata; Mammalia; Primates; Cercopithecidae. The record is from RNAcentral.
UGAUAUUUAUUUAAUUGGAGAUAAAACGAUUGAUAACUUUUAUAACUUAAAACUAAAAGCUUCUUACUAUGCUGGAAAUGGUGGAAAAGGGUAUAAUAACAAUCAAGUUGGUGAAAAUGGAAAAAAUGAGUAUAUAAAUGUACCUAUGAAUACAAUUAUAUAUAAUGAACAAAAUGAAUUUAUUAAUUUUAUACAUGUGAAUAAUCAAAAAGUUUUAGUAUCGAAGGGUGGUAAAGGUGGAAAAGGAAAUUAUUCAUAUCGAACGAAAAAAUUGAAAAUACCAUUUGUUUGUCAAUAUGGAGAAAAAACAAAAGAAAAAAAAAUUUUAUUAAAAAAAAUAUUUUUUACAGAUUUUGGUAUUAUCGGCUACCCUAAUGUUGGGAAAAGUACUCUUUUAAAUAAAAUUACCAAUGCAAAUAUUAAAAUUGCUAAUUAUAGUUAUACAUCUAAAUUUCCGAACUUGGGCGUAUUUAAGUAUGAACAUAAUACUGGGUUGAGUGGUCAAGAUAGUGCAGAGAGUGGUGUAGUAGAUACUGCUGAAAAUAAUGAGAAACGUAGCAUAACGGGUGACGUAAUAAAUGACGUAGUGGAUGACGUAAAGGGUGACGUAAUAGAUGACAUAGUGGGAAACGUAGCGAACACAAUGACAAGCUCCGAGACGACCCGAGCUAACUAUACCGUUAUGGACUUUCCAGGAAUAAUAAAAGACCUAGAUAAAAAAACGUCUAACAUAUCGUAUAAAUAUUUAGAACACUUAAAAUAUAGUAAUGUGCUAAUUUAUGUGUUUGAUAUUAAUAGUAAUAGUGAUACUAUUGUUGAAACUUAUCACAAUAUUAAGAAUGUGCUGAUCUAUUAUGAUCGUAUUUUUGAAAAAAAAAAAGAAUUUAUUUUGCUAAACAAAUUAGACAUAUAUAUAAAAGAUAAAAACAAAAAAAAAAAUAUAAAUUCAUUAGUUAACCUUUUAAAAAAAUCUUUAGAAGUUGAUAAUAUAUUUUGCAUAUCUGCAUUAACAGGAGAGCAUGUAGAAGAAGCGUUAAACGAAAUUGUUUUAAAGAUAGGCAGCAAUAAUGACAAUGAUAAUGCCAAUUGCAAUAACAAUGAGAGUAACAAUGUUAUAAACGAAUUUAUAAACACACUACCUGUCCCGUUAGAUAUUGAAAAAGCAGAAAAUAGUGAUUAUUACCCCCCACUUUGUUACAAAAUUUAUAAAUAUGAUGAACAUAUAUAUAUAAUUAAAGGCAAAUAUAUUGAAAAUCAAGCCAACAUUUUUAAUUUUUCAAAAAGUGACAGUGCUAAAGUAUUUAACGAUAUUUUAGAUGAGUUAAAAGUGAAUUUAAAAUUAAAAAAUAUUGGAGCAAGAGAAGGAG